CACUGCCAAAAUAACCAACAUAAACUACUGGUUUACAUCAGAAUUAGUUUAAGCACACGUUCGGUUGUGUAGACGUAGUAACUAUAUCGUUACGCUAAUCCGUAAACAAACACAAAUUUCAUAAGCAACACAAUGUUUCAUCAAAGUAGAAUAUCUGAAUCCAUCUCAAUACAAACAUAUCGCGUACCUACCUUACCAAAAUAAACAGAGCAUUGACCCUUUCAGACCCUUUGCGUCCUGCAGCUGUUUGCAUCUCGUGGUAAAGCAGUAAAGUUAUCGAUGUUCAUUUGGGUUUUUGCUCUUGCUGAUCCAGGCAGUUUUUGCUGUUGUUGUUAUAAAAGAUGCCUUUAGUUUUGUGCCUCCUGUGUAGGUUGUCAAUUUAGCAAAAAAGUUUGCUGUUCUCACUGUUUACAGGCAGGAGGUGAGCGCACGUGAACGCGCCGAUGACGUAUGGUGUCUGCGUGGACUCGCUGCGCGGUGGGCAUUCAAAUUAUGCUUACGUAUGAGGGACAAAAAUGGAAACGUCCGUUCGGACCGAAAUCUAUGAUUUGUUGAACAUUUUUUGGUCCUACGCCUUUCACAGAUGACAUAAAUUUCUACAAAUACAUUUAAACAACUUAACACAGUGAUUGCUAUCAGGAUGUAAGGAGACUUUUAACCAGCAUAACAAAAAAUGUUUCAGGAUCAAAUCUGUUACCCUACCUUUAAGCCUCCUCGGAGGCAAAACACCUGGCGAUGCCAUCCGCAGGGUCUUGCGUACAAUUGGAACUAAUGGUCUAUGGUCAAAAUACAGCAUUAGAGGAAGGAAGGGGAAAAGAAAUUUGGAGAGCUGAACAUUUGCAGCGUGAUCAUUCAAGCCUGCCAAAAGAUCCACCCAAAAGUGCCAGCUAAGGUGUUAGAGGACUGCAUUGCAGACACUUUAAAAUAUGCUCCCCAUCGUGAGUCAAGGAUGGAGCAUGAACAGCAGACGGACUAGUUUUCAGCACCCACACAGACAUCCACAUUUAUUUAAGUUCUUACUGAUUGAAGAAGAUAGAUCCAUUGCUGCCCAAGCUAAGCUUUUUUGACACAAGUGUGACAUCCCGAAAAAAAAAAAACCCAUUAAUGACCGGUGGGUGAAGGACCUCCUCCUGAGGUAUGUGCAGCUGUUCGGUCUCCUGCUACCUCGAGGUCAACGUGGACAGGGCAAUUCAUGGGCAGGGCCGCCUCAGGUCGUUCACUUUCCUCGAGAUGCGGCAGCCUGCACAAGCUGGGACCGGCCAAGAGAGAAAAUAGCGCAGGAGACGCGUACACCUCUACAAAGCAGUGGCUGGUGAUGAAGGAGGAGGACAUCACCACCAAGUCCCUGAAGUGCUUCAGGCGCUACAUUCUCGAUAGAGAGAAGCUUCCACCAGAUGCCACUCUUCCUGCUGUGACUUCCAGCUCUUCAAGAAGAGAACCAGGCCCAGUCAGUAGAUGUUCAUUCAGAGAAGUAUUCUGAAAUCUUGCAGAGCAAUCAAAGACAAUGCGAAUCAUGCCUGGCUUCUGCGGGUUGUAAACCCCAUGAUGAGGUAUAUAUACCAUGCUGGCUGAUUGUUUAACUGCAUCUCUGGGACCUUUUCAGCAUUGCCUCUUGCUAUUAUGUCUUUCAUGAAAGCCAGGUAGUCUUUGUGGUAUUGCUCAUCCCUCUUUAAACGCUUGUCUAAGGAUUUGAGUCUAUGCUCUGCACACGCUUUGUUGUUAAAAAAUACAUCCAACCUUAUUGUAAAGUGUCACCAUAGUAAUAAUGUGCCCAUGCUUAUGAAACUUAAAAGGGUUUCGGCCUUCAGCCUUCAUCAAAAAAUUUCCACGUACACACAUGCACUCACACUCCCUCAAUACAAAUGGCAGGAUUACAAUAGUCUCUGAGUUCUGCUUGACUAUUUUAAUAUUGUACCCAUCUUGGGGAUUAUUUUCUCUUCACUAGAGAGACUAGUGCUUGAGUGGUGCAGUACUCACUGUAUCCCCUGCUGCUCUCAACAAGAUUAGAGACCCUGCACUUUGACUCCCAAUCCUGCCCUCUUCAUGGUGUCCAGGCACUCAGCGCUCAUUCUGUACCAACAGCUAACAUUAAAGUCACCUCACUGUUGGAUGUACUGUACUGAUGUGGCAUAAGCAUUCAUUUAAAUGAGCUAGAUACUAUGUUUUGAUUGGAGAUUUCUGUUUGGCUUCAUUGCAAAACGGAGAGCUACAGCUAUUAACCCUGUUGCAACCAAUACAUUCAAAGAAACAUGUAAACUUCUUUUUAU
This is a non-coding RNA of Misgurnus anguillicaudatus (oriental weatherfish), 2267 nucleotides long. The record is from RefSeq and is a predicted model, not a curated record. Lineage: Eukaryota; Metazoa; Chordata; Actinopteri; Cypriniformes; Cobitidae.